AAAGGGUAAAUGAUAAAGGAGCAUCCUUGCCUAAAAUGAAUGAAUAUAAUGGGUAAAUGCUUAUCUUUACAGUGUGACUCACUGCUUCAAGCUGACCUCUGAAUAGAGUAUACACAGGCCACUUAUACAUUCUCCAUCAAAUCAUUAAGAGUGAAAUGACAAUGACCAACCACUGUCUCUGACAUUUCCUACAUAUGAAAAGCAUUUAGGAGAUGGAAAGACCAGGCAGUCAUGAAACAGCUAUGAAGACGCAAGAGCAAAAACAUCAGCAGUGACAUUCAGCUGCUCGAUUAUGCCAGAAAGUGGUUGAUGAUAAAGGUUUUGAAAAGUUAUUGAAAAAUGGAGAUAUUGGAACCCUCGGGGAGCUUGUCACGAGGAGAGAAGAACUGCUCGACCAGCACGUGAGCAAGGACCAGCAGGAGUGUAAUGUGAGAGCCAGCAGGCACUGCCAGGUGCUGAAGCUUGACAGCGGUGUGCACCAUGCUUUCAGUACUCCGUUAACAGCCCCAGACAAGGCUGCCUUUGCCUCUUGGCCUCCUGAAUUGCAAUCAUGUGCAUGAAAUUUCAUAUCCCAGUGCUCAGUUCAGUCCUUCCAGACCCACAGCAAUUUCCAUUAGUGGCCACAGCCACAUUCCCCCUGCACCUGGGAAGGGAGACAUACAGAAAUAUUUAUGAAGCCCCAAGCAGGCGCCCGUCCCAGCAGCCACUGUGGUGUGUUGAUCAGCAGCCCAG
Molecule: long non-coding RNA, 732 nt
Organism: Mirounga angustirostris (Northern elephant seal)
Lineage: Eukaryota; Metazoa; Chordata; Mammalia; Carnivora; Phocidae
Exons: 4
Source: RefSeq, a predicted model, not a curated record